Molecule: transfer RNA, 73 nt
Filed under: archaeon GW2011_AR10
Lineage: Archaea
Also listed under: 1 other name
Description: tRNA-Arg
Rfam family: tRNA
About the family: Transfer RNA (tRNA) molecules are approximately 80 nucleotides in length. Their secondary structure includes four short double-helical elements and three loops (D, anti-codon, and T loops). Further hydrogen bonds mediate the characteristic L-shaped molecular structure. tRNAs have two regions of fundamental functional importance: the anti-codon, which is responsible for specific mRNA codon recognition, and the 3' end, to which the tRNAs corresponding amino acid is attached (by aminoacyl-tRNA synthetases). tRNAs cope with the degeneracy of the genetic code in two manners: having more than one tRNA (with a specific anti-codon) for a particular amino acid; and 'wobble' base-pairing, i.e. permitting non-standard base-pairing at the 3rd anti-codon position.
Source: RNAcentral
GGACCCGUAGCCUAGUGGAUAGGGCAGCUGCCUUCUAAGCAGCAGGUCGAGGGUUCGAAUCCCUCCGGGUCCG